This is a non-coding RNA of Caenorhabditis elegans, 212 nucleotides long. NCBI's taxonomy places the organism in Eukaryota, Metazoa, Nematoda, Chromadorea, Rhabditida, Rhabditidae. The record is from Ensembl.
AUAACGCUAAAAACGCCGACGUAUAGGUUUCCCGUAUUCACGUAUGCGCAUAUGCUAAGUGAUGCCCACGGUGAAGCAUUGUUAGUUCGGCGGGUUUCCGCUACCAACGUUGCCAUCAACUAGCUUAAGCAUUUUUCAGAGGAUGAGUAGAAAAAAGAUUGAGGGAUGAGAAGGGGAGAGUUAUGCAAUAGCUAGGUUGGGGAUUUGCAGCG